CCGUCGGUCCUCUGCUCUACCCCGCGGGGUUCCGCCGGUGGGCGGUUGGCCGGUGGCGGGUGGGCGCCGGUGGGUGGCGGGCUGCGCCCCCAGCCCUCCUUCUUCUCCAGCGUUCGCAGCCACUCUGCGCCGCCAGAGAGAAGCCAGCUCCAAAACAACAAAAAAAGGCAAUUCCGGGAGGUGGCGUCCCAAGGAAGGAGGGAACAGCGGAGUGGGGGUGGGGGGGAGGUGAGGGGUGGGGACAGGGAGAGAGAAGGAAAAGCAGGCUGGGGAAUUGGGCAAACUCCACUGCACUUCCGUGCGUCCUGGCUGGCCAAGGACGGCCCGGCUCCGCCCUCCCGCGGGCCUGGGGCGCAAGAGCUCGGCUCCCGCCUACUUUUAGCUUUUCUUUUUGGCCGUCGCCUUCACUCCCUCGCGCCGAGAUCGGGAUACGCGAGCGAGGAGACCACUGGAACUAGGGGGCCCGCAAGCCUCCAGGGCCAGCCCCUAGGGCAGCCGCACCCCUCUGCCCAUCUGGCCCCGCUGGGAGACACCUCUCGCCCGGAGAGGCUUAAGCGCCGCGCGGGGGAGCUCUCCAGCCGCCGCCUCGCCUCCCGGGCUCCGUCACCCUCCAGCCUUUUCCAUGACGCAAGUGAGGGAAAACUCCUAAAGUUUUUAGAGUGCGGUGCUCCAAGGUGUGCGCCAGAGUUGGAACCUGGGAGAGAGGAUGUGCGGAAAGCCGCAGACGCCACCUCCCACUCCUCUGUCCCCCACCCCCCGCUCCGGCGGGACGCGGCACCGCAGUGGCGCCGCCUGGGGAUUGUUCUCUGGAGGGGGUCCCAUCGCCAGAGGCGCUCUCAUGGAAGAAGCCGAAGCCCAAGCCUGAACCGGCUGAGAUACUGGUCUCUGCAGGUCCUAGGUACCCUAGCUAGACAGAGCCAGGGGCACCCCUAUCCUGGGCGAAUUCCUUCAGCAGGGGAGACAAAAUCCCUUGUAUGUAGCGAUGGGGAACAAGCCCAGGCACAGCCC
This 1008-nucleotide long non-coding RNA is filed under the name Sus scrofa (pig). Its description in RNAcentral is "lncRNA (ENSSSCG00070011942.1)". The record is from RNAcentral. Lineage: Eukaryota; Metazoa; Chordata; Mammalia; Artiodactyla; Suidae.